This is a long non-coding RNA of Magnolia sinica, 1376 nucleotides long. RefSeq lists it as uncharacterized. Lineage: Eukaryota; Viridiplantae; Streptophyta; Magnoliopsida; Magnoliales; Magnoliaceae. The record is from RefSeq and is a predicted model, not a curated record. The transcript has 4 exons.
AUUGCUUUGCAGCUUGGAGCUUUUUCAGUGGCAACAAGCUUCUCAUCAAUGGCAGCCAAGGCUAAAUGAACUUGUGAAGCGCUUGGAGGAAUCCCUAUUUAGGAAUGCUACUUCAAAGGAGUACAUGAACAUGGAAACACUGGAGCACCGGUUGCAAACUUCAUUGAGAUCUGAAAGUUAGUCUCAUCAAACCAGCAACCUGCUGAGGACAGUGAUGGCGACUAUUACAAGGAUUCAAGUAGUGAUGGAAGCAGUGAUUCUGAGCUUGAAGGAGGGUUCAAAUAUACAAGAGAGCAGUCGAACCAUCAUCAUCCUGCAAGUGAGGUUGCGUGUAGAAUGGACACACUAUCUUUGCGAGAGAAGCAUGUUGCUAUCCAAGAAGGCUUUUCGAUCUGGUGCAGCUUGUGAAACGAUGUCUAGAUUUUGUUCAACAACAAGGCUUGAAGAAUGUCACAGGCAGUCCAUGCAACAAAGACUUUUGGUCUAUGAUGGGAUUCUUGAAGUAAUCAUUGAUUUGCUUUGACUGAGGUGACCUUCUAGAAAAUCUCUCUGAGCUUUGACUGAGGUGACCUUUUCUAACUCCACUAAAAAUCCACCAACAUCUGUAACAUGUACUUCUCGUUAGUGUAUACAUGUUCAUUUCUUUGAUACACAUAGUCCAAUCUACUUGAGGUGGCCCACUAGGUCAAUAAUACCAAUCACAAUAUGUGUUUUCCAUGUGAACUGAAGGGAGUGAGCUGCAGAGAAGAGUUUCAUACUAACGUUCCUCUUAAACUAAAGAUCAAUUCAUUAUGGAGCAGAGAAUUUUGCGAUGAGAGUAGGCCUAUGAAUCUAUUCAGGCAGACAGGUGUGUGUUAUAUUAGAGCCGCUCAUCAAGACAUCUCACAAUUUAAAUGGCAUGUCUUAGAAAUCAGUUCGUAUGUAUACAAGAUAAAUGCAUUGUUAAUAGGAUCAAUGGCCCACAUUAAACACACACACAUGUAGCCUACCUAAUGGUCAGCUUGGCCCGAUCCUUGGUAGACAAGAAUAUUCCUAGUGGGGAUGGCCUGACAUCUUCACACUGGAGCUAGAAUGUCUCGUGUCACAUCUUAUUUCCAUGGAAUUUUUUGUGGUAACUCAAGGAAAUUUUGGGAACCAAACCUGGCAUCCCGCUAAUAAUUGUACUCCAAGGUGAACACCAUUUUCUAGCAAUUACAUUCCUACUUUUUCAACAUGGAAUUUAAUUCUGUAUUCGCCAAAGCUGUUUGUAGGCAUUCUCAUUUUGUGUAAAGUCAUCUUGGGGAACAUGCUGUAAAUGUAGGCAGUGUCGUCAUUGGUUGUGCAUAGUUAUGUCUUUCAAUGCCAUUUUUUUUUUUCUGGGCUAACAAAACAUCAGU